CAUAGGUUAAUGAGGCGAACCGGGGGAACUGAAACAUCUAAGUACCCCGAGGAAAAGAAAUCAACCGAGAUUCCCCCAGUAGCGGCGAGCGAACGGGGAGCAGCCCAGAGCCUGAAUCAGUGUGUGUGUUAGUGGAAGCGUCUGGAAAGGCGCGCGAUACAGGGUGACAGCCCCGUACACAAAAAUGCACAUGCUGUGAGCUCGAUGAGUAGGGCGGGACACGUGGUAUCCUGUCUGAAUAUGGGGGGACCAUCCUCCAAGGCUAAAUACUCCUGACUGACCGAUAGUGAACCAGUACCGUGAGGGAAAGGCGAAAAGAACCCCGGCGAGGGGAGUGAAAAAGAACCUGAAACCGUGUACGUACAAGCAGUGGGAGCACAGAGCAAUCUGUGUGACUGCGUACCUUUUGUAUAAUGGGUCAGCGACUUAUAUUCUGUAGCAAGGUUAACCGAAUAGGGGAGCCGAAGGGAAACCGAGUCUUAACUGGGCGUUAAGUUGCAGGGUAUAGACCCGAAACCCGGUGAUCUAGCCAUGGGCAGGUUGAAGGUUGGGUAACACUAACUGGAGGACCGAACCGACUAAUGUUGAAAAAUUAGCGGAUGACUUGUGGCUGGGGGUGAAAGGCCAAUCAAACCGGGAGAUAGCUGGUUCUCCCCGAAAGCUAUUUAGGUAGCGCCUCGUGAAUUCAUCUCCGGGGGUAGAGCACUGUUUCGGCAAGGGGGUCAUCCCGACUUACCAACCCGAUGCAAACUGCGAAUACCGGAGAAUGUUAUCACGGGAGACACACGGCGGGUGCUAACGUCCGUCGUGAAGAGGGAAACAACCCAGACCGCCAGCUAAGGUCCCAAAGUCAUGGUUAAGUGGGAAACGAUGUGGGAAGGCCCAGACAGCCAGGAUGUUGGCUUAGAAGCAGCCAUCAUUUAAAGAAAGCGUAAUAGCUCACUGGUCGAGUCGGCCUGCGCGGAAGAUGUAACGGGGCUAAACCAUGCACCGAAGCUGCGGCAGCGACGCUUAUGCGUUGUUGGGUAGGGGAGCGUUCUGUAAGCCUGCGAAGGUGUGCUGUGAGGCAUGCUGGAGGUAUCAGAAGUGCGAAUGCUGACAUAAGUAACGAUAAAGCGGGUGAAAAGCCCGCUCGCCGGAAGACCAAGGGUUCCUGUCCAACGUUAAUCGGGGCAGGGUGAGUCGACCCCUAAGGCGAGGCCGAAAGGCGUAGUCGAUGGGAAACAGGUUAAUAUUCCUGUACUUGGUGUUACUGCGAAGGGGGGACGGAGAAGGCUAUGUUGGCCGGGCGACGGUUGUCCCGGUUUAAGCGUGUAGGCUGGUUUUCCAGGCAAAUCCGGAAAAUCAAGGCUGAGGCGUGAUGACGAGGCACUACGGUGCUGAAGCAACAAAUGCCCUGCUUCCAGGAAAAGCCUCUAAGCAUCAGGUAACAUCAAAUCGUACCCCAAACCGACACAGGUGGUCAGGUAGAGAAUACCAAGGCGCUUGAGAGAACUCGGGUGAAGGAACUAGGCAAAAUGGUGCCGUAACUUCGGGAGAAGG
This 1542-nucleotide ribosomal RNA is filed under the name Escherichia coli. Its description in RNAcentral is "partial 23S ribosomal RNA". It matches the Rfam family "Bacterial large subunit ribosomal RNA", at positions 165 to 1746 of the family's 2925-position model. The record is from RNAcentral. Lineage: Bacteria; Pseudomonadati; Pseudomonadota; Gammaproteobacteria; Enterobacterales; Enterobacteriaceae.